RNAcentral lists this non-coding RNA (117 nucleotides) under Betaproteobacteria bacterium MOLA814. RNAcentral's name for it is "ALIL pseudoknot". It matches the Rfam family "ALIL pseudoknot". The record is from RNAcentral. Lineage: Bacteria; Pseudomonadati; Pseudomonadota; Betaproteobacteria.
UGCUUUUUUUGCCCAGGCGGAGCUCGACCGUCGACUCAAGUAUUAAAUGACUUUGUGGACAAGCAUCGGGACAUACACGGGGUCGAGCCAAUCUGCAAAGUUUUGCAGAUUGCCCCG